Molecule: long non-coding RNA, 362 nt
Organism: Hordeum vulgare subsp. vulgare (domesticated barley)
Lineage: Eukaryota; Viridiplantae; Streptophyta; Magnoliopsida; Poales; Poaceae
Exons: 3
Source: RefSeq, a predicted model, not a curated record
UGUUCCCCUGUUCAUGUCCACAUGGGAAGAUGAAAGACCACAUUUGCCAUUUAUAAAGGAUGGAUAUGAACUCAGAAAACUAAUUUUGGGCCAACUAUUAACAUUCAAGGACAAUGAAUGUGAAGAUAACAUGCUUGUCGGUGUACUUGAAUUCAUCAGUUGUAUCAGGAAAAUCCAAUUUAAAUCUGGACGUGCAUGCUAUUUCUGAAGAUGAUCUCCGCUGGAAGGUGAUGGCCGAAAUAUGGGCCGAGACCAUCAUCUAUAUAAUGUGUCAUCACAAAGUAUCAAGGUGCACAUGGAACGACUUGCGCAAGGAGGGGAAUUCCUUGCUCACGACUGGCUCUCCUCAAUCACACAGCCAA